GGAAGUAAAAUCGUAACAAGGUCUCCGUUGGUGAACCAGCGGAGGGAUCAUUACAGAGUUGCAAAACUCCCAAACCAUUGUGAACGUUACCUAUCCCGUUGCUUCGGCGGGCGGCCCGGGCCCCGCGCCCGGCGCCCCCCGGCCCCCCGUGGGCGCCCGCCGGAGGUAAACCAAACCCUUGAAUUGCAUGGCCUCUCUGAGUCUUCUGUACUGAAUAAGUCAAAACUUUCAACAACGGAUCUCUUGGUUCCG
Molecule: unclassified non-coding RNA, 252 nt
Filed under: plant metagenome
Description: partial contains small subunit ribosomal RNA, internal transcribed spacer 1, and 5.8S ribosomal RNA
Rfam family: Eukaryotic small subunit ribosomal RNA (bases 1-53)
Source: RNAcentral